RNAcentral lists this ribosomal RNA (253 nucleotides) under uncultured bacterium. RNAcentral's name for it is "partial 16S ribosomal RNA". It matches the Rfam family "Bacterial small subunit ribosomal RNA", at positions 524 to 776 of the family's 1533-position model. The record is from RNAcentral.
UACGGAGGGUGCAAACGUUGCUCGGAAUCAUUGGGCGUAAAGCGCACGUAGGCGGCCUGUUAAGUCGGGUGUGAAAGCCCUGGGCUCAACUCAGGAAGUGCACUCGAAACUGGCGGGCUUGAAUAUGGAAGAGGGUCGCGGAAUUCCCGGUGUAGAGGUGAAAUUCGUAGAUAUCGGGAGGAACACCAGUGGCGAAGGCGGCGACCUGGGCCAAUAUUGACGCUGAGGUGCGAAAGCGUGGGGAGCAAACAGG